GGAAGUAAAAGUCGUAACAAGGUCUCCGUUGGUGAACCAGCGGAGGGAUCAUUAUAGAGUUCUAAACUCCAACCUUUGUGACAUAUACGUGUUGCUUCGGCGGGUUGGGGGGCCCAGCGCCCACCGUCGCCCGCCGGGGACCCAAACUCUUGCCUUCUAGCGGAAUCUUCUGAGUGAAAGCAAAUAAAAUCAAAACUUUCAGCAACGGAUCUCUUGGCUCUAGCAUCGAUGAAGAACGCAGCGAAAUGCGAUAAGUAAUGUGAAUUGCAGAAUUCAGUGAAUCAUCGAAUCUUUGAACGCACAUUGCGCCCGCCAGCACUCUGGCGGGCAUGCCUGUUCGAGCGUCAUUUCAACCCUCAGCGCCCCCCCGCGGGCGCUGGCGUUGGGGAUUGGCAGCCAGCCAGCCCCUAAAUCUAGUGGCGGUCCCUCCGCGACCUCCCCUGUGCAGUAGCGAUACCUCGCAGCGGGACAGCGGUCUGACCACGCCGUAAAACCCCCUACUUCUCAAGGUUGACCUCGGAUCAGGUAGGACUACCCGCUGAACUUAAGCAUAUCAAUAAGCCGGAGGAAAACGGC
This 576-nucleotide ribosomal RNA is filed under the name Phomopsis sp. FZ100. RNAcentral's name for it is "eukaryotic LSU rRNA". The stretch from base 194 to 347 matches the Rfam family "5.8S ribosomal RNA". Lineage: Eukaryota; Fungi; Ascomycota; Sordariomycetes; Diaporthales; Diaporthaceae. The record is from RNAcentral.